Sipha flava (yellow sugarcane aphid) is the source of this 2194-nucleotide long non-coding RNA. RefSeq lists it as uncharacterized. The transcript has 3 exons. Lineage: Eukaryota; Metazoa; Arthropoda; Insecta; Hemiptera; Aphididae. The record is from RefSeq and is a predicted model, not a curated record.
UCGUGUGCAAACGCACGAUGAACUAAUUUUGUACACCGUGUAGUCUGUUGUUAUUUUUUGUAUAGUGUGGACGUUGAAUAUUUACAUUCGUUUCGGAUCAUUACGUUUUCGUACAUAGUUCCAAAAUAAAAUUACGGGUACGUUGCAGUGACUUUGACAACCAGAAGUACGUAUAUGACGACAUUUCUUUCGGAAAUCGGUAAAUUAAAGAGAGGAAACCAAAAGUUUUGGCGAGACGCUACGAAACGUAUACUGUACCGUGUGUAGAAGUAUUUAUACGGAGUGGAGGAAAACCGCCCUCGUGGUGGACAUAAAAGUAUACGACGACAGAUCGAGAGAUUUCAUUUCGGUCGGGGAGGACGGUGGUUCAUAAAAUAAUCAUACGCGUCUCGCAGUGGUUACGGUACACGGGGUUGGACCCGCGCAACGUUCUGCGUCCGGAUAUCUUUGAAUUUAUUGAACUAUUCAUGGGGAAAUAAACAUUUAUGGACACGGCCGACGACGAUCACGCGGCCAAAGUUGUCCGUCCGAUGACGGUUUUCGAUUAUCCGGCGGCGUGCGUGGACUCGGAGAGCACAACGCGCAAUUUUAUAAAUAUUAAAUCAUGUUAUUAUCCUUAAAAACGAAACGGAUCGGCUUGAUGGCCAUAAUAUUUUAGUAUUGGCUAUAAACGACUUAAAUAUUAAACAAUGGUUGGCAUUACGGCGGUCUAGACGCGACGAUUUGCGAACUUGCAGUUUAAGGGGAACACACCGAAGGUACAGCCGAACCGCACUUCUUACCGAAAUCGAAGUAAUCGAAUUGCACUGAAGUGAAGAAAAUGUGAUAUUUACACCUUUAUAAAAAAAUCUAAUUAUGUAGUACUUUUUUUUUUACGACCAAUCGCUUGAGUCAGGAUGUAUUUCAGGAAAAUAUUUUUUUUUUUUUGUAUUUUCGAAAAAAAUUUGGUCAUAACAAAAACGUACGUAAAUGGAGGUGUUAUUAUUACGAGUAUUUCUUUUACGUACUUUUACGUUAUGCGAAAAAACAACCGCGCGUUAAAAAUAAGAUUGAUUUUUCGAACAUUUUUCUUGAACCGAGCGCAUUGUGGUAAUUACUCGUUUUCGAUCGGAGAGCGGUUCGACCAUGGUCUUUUUCCACUAGGGUAAACGCAAAUCGACAACGCUCCGAAGCGAAUAUGUUCACGGGGUGACGAUCGAAAACGAAAAUCGGUCACGCGUUAUCGAUAAUUACGGCAACGUUUGAGCCGCCAUAAUAACGCGUAUAGUGUUAUACAGUGCGCGCGUAUAGGCACUCGAGAAAUGAGCAAAACGGAAAAGAAUCGUACAAAUAUGGGGUUUUUUUUUUUCGGGUAAACGCGUGCAAAAAACCGAACCGCGUCCGAAACGAGGGGCGUCGAAAAAAAACGGGUCGCUAUUAUUGUGUUGUGUUCAUAAUGAUCUUCGGUGUAUUAUAUUAUUUCGUGAAAAUAUUAUCAUAAUCGCGUCGGAAACGUUCGCGCGGUGUAUUCACAUUAUUCACUCCGAUCGGCGCGAACGGGCUUACCGUUUAUUUUUUCCGGCCUACUAACGAGGUAAUGUUGUAAACCGUAACAGAAUAAUAACGAUAAUUGUUGUUAUUAAAACCGUAUUAUUUUUCCGAACGCGCGUCACAAUCAAAUGCAACGACGCGGCUGACACAUGCGACGACGAGGUGGCAUUCGUUAUUAUUAUAUACUCAUUAUUCGUAUUCGUAUUAUUAUUAUUAUUAUUAUUAUUCGUAUUAUAUCUGGUCGAACGUCGAGUGGGCGGAAAUCCUCGCAGUGAGCGAACUACGAACAACGUUAAAUAUUAUUAUUAUUUUUCAGUCACCCCCACCCCCUCAAACCACGGGUGGAAGAGCCUUUUUUAACAGGAGGCGCGCAGUCGAACCGACGAAUCAUCCAAGUGUCAUUAUUCUAUAAACGUUUCUCAUUAUGUCGUCUAUGAGAAGACCGCGGAACUUCUCGCACAAGUAAAUCCAUCUAAUAAAAUACUGCGGGAUGUGCAAGAAGAAUCGUACGAAUCGACUGAGACUGAGAACACUUUUUUUUUUGUUAUAACGAAUGAAAAAUAAUAAAUAAGUUUCGAUUUGAUUUUCCGCAUCGUUUAUUUACGUUAAAUAUCGAAUAUAUGUUAAAUCCGUAUACUUACCUGAAGUGUUACCUGAUCAUUUG